GGGUUGUGAGGUUAAGCGACUAAGCGUACACGGUGGAUGCCCUGGCAGUCAGAGGCGAUGAAGGACGUGCUAAUCUGCGAAAAGCGUCGGUAAGGUGAUAUGAACCGUUAUAACCGGCGAUGUCCGAAUGGGGAAACCCAGUGCAAUUCGUUGCACUAUCGUUAACUGAAUACAUAGGUUAACGAGGCGAACCGGGGGAACUGAAACAUCUAAGUACCCCGAGGAAAAGAAAUCAACCGAGAUUCCCCCAGUAGCGGCGAGCGAACGGGGAGCAGCCCAGAGUCUGAAUCAGCUUGUGUGUUAGUGGAACGGUCUGGAAAGUCCGACGGUACAGGGUGAUAGUCCCGUACACCAAAAUGCACAGGUUGUGAACUCGAAGAGUAGGGCGGGACACGUGGUAUCCUGUCUGAAUAUGGGGGGACCAUCCUCCAAGGCUAAAUACUCCUGACUGACCGAUAGUGAACCAGUACCGUGAGGGAAAGGCGAAAAGAACCCCGGCGAGGGGAGUGAAAAAGAACCUGAAACCGUGUACGUACAAGCAGUGGGAGCACCUUUAUGGUGUGACUGCGUACCUUUUGUAUAAUGGGUCAGCGACUUAUAUUCUGUAGCAAGGUUAACCGUAUAGGGGAGCCGCAGGGAAACCGAGUCUUAACUGGGCGUUAAGUUGCAGGGUAUAGACCCGAAACCCGGUGAUCUAGCCAUGGGCAGGUUGAAGGUUGGGUAACACUAACUGGAGGACCGAACCGACUAAUGUUGAAAAAUUAGCGGAUGACUUGUGGCUGGGGGUGAAAGGCCAAUCAAACCGGGAGAUAGCUGGUUCUCCCCGAAAGCUAUUUAGGUAGCGCCUCGUGAACUCAUCUUCGGGGGUAGAGCACUGUUUCGGCUAGGGGGUCAUCCCGACUUACCAACCCGAUGCAAACUACGAAUACCGAAGAAUGUUAUCACGGGAGACACACGGCGGGUGCUAACGUCCGUCGUGAAGAGGGAAACAACCCAGACCGCCAGCUAAGGUCCCAAAGUCAUGGUUAAGUGGGAAACGAUGUGGGAAGGCACAGACAGCCAGGAUGUUGGCUUAGAAGCAGCCAUCAUUUAAAGAAAGCGUAAUAGCUCACUGGUCGAGUCGGCCUGCGCGGAAGAUGUAACGGGGCUAAACCAUGCACCGAAGCUGCGGCAGCGACACUAUGUGUUGUUGGGUAGGGGAGCGUUCUGUAAGCCUGCGAAGGUGGCCUGUGAGGGCUGCUGGAGGUAUCAGAAGUGCGAAUGCUGACAUAAGUAACGAUAAAGCGGGUGAAAAGCCCGCUCGCCGGAAGACCAAGGGUUCCUGUCCAACGUUAAUCGGGGCAGGGUGAGUCGACCCCUAAGGCGAGGCCGAAAGGCGUAGUCGAUGGGAAACAGGUUAAUAUUCCUGUACUUGGUGUUACUGCGAAGGGGGGACGGAGAAGGCUAUGUUAGCCGGGCGACGGUUGUCCCGGUUUAAGCAUGUAGGCGGAGGUUCCAGGUAAAUCCGGUACCUUUUAACGCUGAGGUGUGAUGACGAGGCACUACGGUGCUGAAGUAACAAAUGCCCUGCUUCCAGGAAAAGCCUCUAAGCAUCAGGUAACAUUGAAUCGUACCCCAAACCGACACAGGUGGUCAGGUAGAGAAUACCAAGGCGCUUGAGAGAACUCGGGUGAAGGAACUAGGCAAAAUGGUGCCGUAACUUCGGGAGAAGGCACGCUGGUGUGUAGGUGAAGUCCCUGCGGAUGGAGCUGAGACCAGUCGAAGAUACCAGCUGGCUGCAACUGUUUAUUAAAAACACAGCACUGUGCAAACACGAAAGUGGACGUAUACGGUGUGACGCCUGCCCGGUGCCGGAAGGUUAAUUGAUGGGGUUAUCCGUAAGGAGAAGCUCUUGAUCGAAGCCCCGGUAAACGGCGGCCGUAACUAUAACGGUCCUAAGGUAGCGAAAUUCCUUGUCGGGUAAGUUCCGACCUGCACGAAUGGCGUAAUGAUGGCCAGGCUGUCUCCACCCGAGACUCAGUGAAAUUGAACUCGCUGUGAAGAUGCAGUGUACCCGCGGCAAGACGGAAAGACCCCGUGAACCUUUACUAUAGCUUGACACUGAACAUUGAGCCUUGAUGUGUAGGAUAGGUGGGAGGCUUUGAAGCGUGGACGCCAGUCUGCGUGGAGCCAACCUUGAAAUACCACCCUUUAAUGUUUGAUGUUCUAACGUUGGCCCCUUAUCGGGGUUGCGGACAGUGUCUGGUGGGUAGUUUGACUGGGGCGGUCUCCUCCCAAAGAGUAACGGAGGAGCACGAAGGUUAGCUAAUCCUGGUCGGACAUCAGGAGGUUAGUGCAAUGGCAUAAGCUAGCUUGACUGCGAGCGUGACGGCGCGAGCAGGUGCGAAAGCAGGUCAUAGUGAUCCGGUGGUUCUGAAUGGAAGGGCCAUCGCUCAACGGAUAAAAGGUACUCCGGGGAUAACAGGCUGAUACCGCCCAAGAGUUCAUAUCGACGGCGGUGUUUGGCACCUCGAUGUCGGCUCAUCACAUCCUGGGGCUGAAGUAGGUCCCAAGGGUAUGGCUGUUCGCCAUUUAAAGUGGUACGCGAGCUGGGUUUAGAACGUCGUGAGACAGUUCGGUCCCUAUCUGCCGUGGGCGCUGGAGAAUUGAGGGGGGCUGCUCCUAGUACGAGAGGACCGGAGUGGACGCAUCACUGGUGUUCGGGUUGUCAUGCCAAUGGCACUGCCCGGUAGCUAAAUGCGGAAGAGAUAAGUGCUGAAAGCAUCUAAGCACGAAACUUGCCCCGAGAUGAGUUCUCCCUGAGACUAUAAGUCUCCUGAAGGAACGUUGAAGACGACGACGUUGAUAGGCCGGGUGUGUAAGCGCAGCGAUGCGUUGAGCUAACCGGUACUAAUGAACCGUGAGGCUUAACCUUACAACGCCGAAGCUGUU
Molecule: ribosomal RNA, 2931 nt
Filed under: Klebsiella variicola
Lineage: Bacteria; Pseudomonadati; Pseudomonadota; Gammaproteobacteria; Enterobacterales; Enterobacteriaceae
Description: 23S ribosomal RNA
Rfam family: Bacterial large subunit ribosomal RNA
Source: RNAcentral